GUGGGGGAAACACCAAAACAAACGGCAGUCAGGACCCGGUGCCCGCUCGCCGCAGCCCGCAACCCCUUCGCCAGCCCCCGCCAGCCCCGGCCGCCAGCUACGACCUCGGGCGACCUCGUCUCAGCCAGGCUGGACGAUCGGAAGCCAGGACCGCACGCCGUUCCUGCCUCCGUGGCCGACACCGCCACCUCCACCUCCGCCGCCGCCUCAGCUUACCUUGCCAGCGCAGGCCGCCAUAGUGACUCUGACUGAAACCUACCGGGUGCACCGCCACGGGAACGCGCACCCUUUACAAGGGCCCUCCUCCGCCGUCUCCCGUGCCGUAGUCCGGACGUGUCAUGUGAGUGACGCUGAGGAAGCCAUGUUUGUCACUGGCGGAGAAGUGGGCAAACUCAUUCUUAACGUGCCUCUGGCGCCAUCUUUGUUAAGGGACGGAUGCUUCAACCCUCCAGACAGCCUGAACGACCAUUUUGGUAAAGGGCAAGAGAAACUUUGAGGGGUUGAAUGUUUCAAGAACACACAGCGGUAACUUCCUGGUUCAACUUAUGAACCUGUGCUGAGUCCAGGAGAGACAGAGGAGCGCGCCUUCAUCUCUGCCCGCUAGUUGUGUUACCAGAGUUGUGACUUUCAGACCGAGAGGAUAAAAUAAGGUUUGCUAGACAUCUGUGCAGAACUGAAAAGAAUAUUUUUGGUGCAAGUUGUGGAAGUGGGACGAAGAUAAAUACCAAGAGUAUGUAAGCGCCUCCAGCCAGAUCUGGAAGAAAGGCUAUGAACGAGAAAUGGAUGACCCUUGGUCAGAGCUCCAGGAAAUGGAUAGCAAGAUCCACCCACGGAAAUUUCCCAGACUUUAAAAGGAAACGGACUUGUAACUGACUGUACCGAACUUUGACCUUUGUAGAACUUAGGACGGCGAUAUCAUCAGAUGUUUGUAGAAUUUCUGGAGGACAUAUUUGUGCCGUUCUGAGAGUGAGUUUAGACUGUGAACCUCUUAGAACAGACAUUGGUAAUGGCUAUGUGAAUUGUCAUAUCUGCUUCUUGCAUGCAAAAGUUUGGUAACUUGGUCACAGCCUGACCUCAGGUGUGCUCUUGGGUUUGUGUGACUUCUCUGCAGGAGUAUCAACCACUUCCCAAGGUCAAUUGUAGAAGCAAUGAUGAUGCUCAUCAUUACAGGACAGUGGGUGGGUGGGAAAGAGAACUGUGGCAAAUCCAGAAAUCUGGGGCAGAAAAACAGUAGGAGCUGUUUCUCAAAACACAAUAGCUAUAUUUUGGGUAUUGCCUGAAAUGCAGGGGGAGGGAGAAGUUAUUCUUUGUAGUAAAUGAGCCAUGGGACUCAAGCCAUCAUAAUUUGAGUAUGAAAAGUGACUGUGCCGAAGUAUAGCCUAGUGGCUCACACUCGCCAGCCCCGUGCUCUGAAGGAGGAAGCACAAGGAUCCGGAGUUCAAGCUCAUCCUCAGUUAUAUAAAAGUUUGAGACCAGCUUGAACUACAUGAGACGCUGUCUCAUUAGACAAAAAUAAAUAAGAUUUAUUAUUUACAUUAUAUAAGGAACUUAAACAUCUCUAUAACAAUAAAAUAAAAGCCCACAUUAAAGAUGUGCAACAAAGUUGGGUGUGUAUUUCUCAUGAGAAAACGCACAGAUGGCUAACAAGUAUUUGAGAAAACACUCAACAGUCCUAAUUAUCAAUGAAAUGCAAAAUGAGACUACAGUGAAAUACCACCUUGUCCCCGUUAGACUGGCUAUG
This is a long non-coding RNA of Arvicola amphibius (Eurasian water vole), 1741 nucleotides long. RefSeq lists it as uncharacterized. The transcript is spliced from 3 exons. The record is from RefSeq and is a predicted model, not a curated record. NCBI's taxonomy places the organism in Eukaryota, Metazoa, Chordata, Mammalia, Rodentia, Cricetidae.